AAUUGGAGGGCAAGUCUGGUGCCAGCAGCCGCGGUAAUUCCAGCUCCAAUAGCGUAUAUUAAAGUUGUUGCAGUUAAAAAGCUCGUAGUUGAAUUUCGGGAUUGACGUGAUGGUCGUGCCUUAAGGGGUAUGAACUGUCGCAGUUGAUUUCUCACCUUCUGGAGAAGCAUGAUGUCCUUAAUUGGGUGUCAUGUGGAACCAGGACCUUUACCUUGAAAAAAUUAGAGUGUUUAAAGCAGGCAUUUUGCUCGAAUACAUUAGCAUGGAAUAAUAGAAUAGGACGGCAUGGUUCUAUUUUGUUGGUUUCUAGGAUCACCGUAAUGAUUAAUAGGGAUAGUUGGGGGCAUUAGUAUUCAAUUGUCAGAGGUGAAAUUCUUGGAUUUAUUGAAGACUAACUACUGCGAAAGCAUUUGCCAAGGAUGUUUUCAUUAAUCAAGAACGAAAGUUAGGGGAUCGAAGACGAUCAGAUACCGUCGUAGUCUUAACCAUAAACUAUGCCGACUAGGAAUCAGACGAUGUUAAUUUUUUAAUGACUCAUUUGGCACCUUACGGGAAACCAAAGUGU
RNAcentral lists this ribosomal RNA (565 nucleotides) under uncultured Glomus. Its description in RNAcentral is "SSU rRNA". It matches the Rfam family "Eukaryotic small subunit ribosomal RNA", at positions 546 to 1106 of the family's 1831-position model. Lineage: Eukaryota; Fungi; Glomeromycota; Glomeromycetes; Glomerales; Glomeraceae. The record is from RNAcentral.